AAAUUCAAAUAUUUAAAUCCCGAUGUUGGGUAUGGAGACACCUCCACCGUCUGUCAAAUCCCCGGUUGACCUUGGGUCUGGUACGGCGUUUUCUUUUCCCCAACUGGGCACGUGCGGUGGAUGUGGCAAGUGCUACUAGUUCGCUGUAAUGAUAAAGAGUUAUUACCACCUAAGCCCGGAUGCUUAUCAAGGCUCGAGGAGAUAUCAGGUGCUUUUCAGCAAAGCAAUAACCCGACCUGAGAUGACUUGAACAGGAGGUAAUAGCUCUCGAAUAAGGUCGGCAAGGAUUUACCUGGCGACGGCCCUUACAGAGGAACUUCCACCCGGUUCCAACAACCUCUACUCAAAGUCGGUGGAAUCAGACGGCAAACACGGAAGGGAAGCUCUUUGGAUUCCAGUCCGGUCGACCGACCGAAGGCAAGAAUACAAAGAACUAGUUCUGUGUCCGGUUUUAUAAGCCCGCAGGGAUUUACCCUACCAGGAUUAUAUUCCCGGGAACAGGUCUGGGAAAAUAAU
Molecule: long non-coding RNA, 516 nt
Organism: Photinus pyralis (common eastern firefly)
Lineage: Eukaryota; Metazoa; Arthropoda; Insecta; Coleoptera; Lampyridae
Exons: 3
Source: RefSeq, a predicted model, not a curated record